AGUGAACGCUGGCGGUAGGCCUAACACAUGCAAGUCGAACGGCAGCACAGUAAGAGCUUGCUCUUACGGGUGGCGAGUGGCGGACGGGUGAGGAAUACAUCGGAAUCUACUUUUUCGUGGGGAUAACGUAGGGAAACUUACGCUAAUACCGCAUACGACCUACGGGUGAAAGCAGGGGAUCUUCGGACCUUGCGCGAUUGAAUGAGCCGAUGUCGGAUUAGCUAGUUGGCGGGGUAAAGGCCCACCAAGGCGACGAUCCGUAGCUGGUCUGAGAGGAUGAUCAGCCACACUGGAACUGAGACACGGUCCAGACUCCUACGGGAGGCAGCAGUGGGGAAUAUUGGACAAUGGGCGCAAGCCUGAUCCAGCCAUACCGCGUGGGUGAAGAAGGCUUUCGGGUUGUAAAGCCCCUUUGUUGGGAAAGAAAAGCAGCAGGUUAAUACCCCGCUGUUCUGACGGUACCCAAAGAAUAAGCACCGGCUAACUUCGUG
Molecule: ribosomal RNA, 491 nt
Filed under: uncultured bacterium
Lineage: Bacteria
Description: partial 16S ribosomal RNA
Rfam family: Bacterial small subunit ribosomal RNA
Source: RNAcentral